GAUGAACGCUGACAGAAUGCUUAACACAUGCAAGUCAACUGUGGCGGACGGGUGAGUAACGCGUAAAGAACUUGCCACACAGCUAGGGACAACAUUUGGAAACGAAUGCUAAUACCUGAUACUGUGAGAGAGCUUUGCGUCCCAUUAGCUAGUUGGAGAGGUAACGGCUCACCAAGGCGAUGAUGGUUAGCCGGCCUGAGAGGGUGAUCGGCCACAAGGGGACUGAGACACGGACCUUACUCCUACGUGAGGCAGCAGUGGGGAAUAUUUGACAAUGGACCAAAGUCUGAUCCAGUAAUUCGGUUUGCACGAUGAAGUUUUCGGAAUGAAAAUUGCUUGCAGUUGGGAAGCGGUACCAACAGAAGAAGUGACGGCUAAAUACGUGCCAGCAGCCGCGGUAAUUC
This 404-nucleotide ribosomal RNA is filed under the name uncultured bacterium. RNAcentral describes it as "partial 16S ribosomal RNA". It matches the Rfam family "Bacterial small subunit ribosomal RNA", at positions 28 to 526 of the family's 1533-position model. The record is from RNAcentral.